Phrynosoma platyrhinos (Desert horned lizard) is the source of this 74-nucleotide non-coding RNA. Lineage: Eukaryota; Metazoa; Chordata; Lepidosauria; Squamata; Phrynosomatidae. The record is from the annotation of a GenBank genome assembly.
GGUAAUGUGUGGCAUAGUGGUUUGAGUGUUGGACUGAGACUCUGGAGUCUAGAGUUCAAUUCCCAGCUUAACCA